UGGCUCAGUGGUUAAGAGCACUGGCUGCUCUUCCAGAGAACCUGGGUUUAAUUCCCAG
This 58-nucleotide transfer RNA is filed under the name Neotoma lepida (desert woodrat). It matches the Rfam family "tRNA", at positions 8 to 63 of the family's 71-position model. Rfam says of the family: Transfer RNA (tRNA) molecules are approximately 80 nucleotides in length. The record is from Rfam by way of RNAcentral. Lineage: Eukaryota; Metazoa; Chordata; Mammalia; Rodentia; Cricetidae.